AUAACAUGAUUUAUAAACCAGUCGUAAACCCUGUCCUAACUAAUGAGGUCUGUGUAGGUAACAUGAUUUAUAAACCAGUCGUAAACCUUGUCCUAACUAAUGAGGUCUGUGUAGAUAACAUGAUUUAUAAACCAGUCGUAAACCCUGUCCUAACUAAUGAGGUCUGUGUAGAUAUGACAUAUAAACCAAUCAUAAACCUUGUCCUAACUGAUGAGGUCUGUGUAGAUAACAUGAUUUAUAAACCAGUCGUAAACCUUGUCCUAAUGAGGUCUGUGUAGAUAACAUGACUUAUAAACCAAUCAUAAACCAUGUCCUAACUGAUGAGGUCUGUUUAGAUAACAUGAUUUAUAAACCAGUCAUAAACCUUGUCCUAACUGAUGAGGUCUGUGUAGAUAACAUGACUUAUAAACCAAUCAUAAACCUUGUCCUAACUGAUGAGGUCUGUGUAGAUAACAUGACUUAUAAACCAAUCAUAAACCUUAUCCUAACUGAUGAGGUCUGUGUAGAUAACAUGACUUAUAAACCAAUCAUAAACCUUGUCCUAACUGAUGAGGUCUGUGUAGAUAACAUGACUUAUAAACCAGUCAUAAACCCUGUCCUAACUGAUGAGGUCUGUGUAGAUGACAUGACUUAUAAACCCUGUCCUAACUGAUGAGGUCUGUGUAGAUAACAUGAUGCAUAAACCCUGUCCUAACUGAUGAGGUCUGUGUAGAUGACAUGAUGCAUAAACCCUGUCCUAACUGAUGAGGUCUGUGUAGAUAACAUGACUUAUAAACCCUGUCCUAACUGAUGAGGUCUGUGUAGAUAACAUGACUUAUAAACCCUGUCCUAACUGAUGAGGUCUGUGUAGAUGACAUGACUUAUAAACCUUGUCCUAACUGAUGAGGUCUGUGUAGAUGACAUGAUGCAUAAACCCUGUCCUAACUGAUGAGGUCUGUGUAGAUGACAUGACUUAUAAACCUUGUCCUAACUGAUGAGGUCUGUGUAGAUGACAUGAUUUAUAAACCCUGUCCUAACUGAUGAGGUCUGUGUAGAUGACAUGAUGCAUAAACCCUGUCCUAACUGAUGAGGUCUGUGUAGAUAACAUGACUUAUAAACCCUGUCCUAACUGAUGAGGUCUGUGUAGAUGACAUGACUUAUAAACCCUGUCCUAACUGAUGAGGUCUGUGUAGAUGACAUGACUUAUAAACCCUGUCCUAACUGAUGAGGUCUGUGUAGAUAACAUGACUUAUAAACCCUGUCCUAACUGAUGAGGUCUGUGUAGAUGACAUGACUUAUAAACCCUGUCCUAACUGAUGAGGUCUGUGUAGAUGACAUGACUUAUAAACCCUGUCCUAACUGAUGAGGUCUGUGUAGAUGACAUGACUUAUAAACCCUGUCCUAACUGAUGAGGUCUGUGUAGAUGACAUGACUUAUAAACCCUGUCCUAACUGAUGAGGUCUGUGUAGAUAACAUGACUUAUAAACCCUGUCCUAACUGAUGAGGUCUGUGUAGAUGACAUGACUUAUAAACCCUGUCCUAACUGAUGAGGUCUGUGUAGAUAACAUGACUUAUAAACCCUGUCCUAACUGAUGAGGUCUGUGUAGAUAACAUGACUUAUAAACCCUGUCCUAACUGAUGAGGUCUGUGUAGAUAACAUGAUGCAUAAACCCUGUCCUAACUGAUGAGGUCUGUGUAGAUAACAUGACUUAUAAACCCUGUCCUAACUGAUGAGGUCUGUGUAGAUAACAUGAUGCAUAAACCCUGUCCUAACUGAUGAGGUCUGUGUAGAUAACAUGACUUAUAAACCCUGUCCUAACUGAUGAGGUCUGUGUAGGUAACAUGACUUAUAAACCAAUCAUAAACCCUGUCCUAACUGAUGAGGUCUGUGUAGAUAACAUGAUGCAUAAACCCUGUCCGAAACUGAUGAGGUCUGUGUAGAUAACAUGACUUAUAAACCCUGUCCUAACUGAUGAGGUCUGUGUAGGUAACAUGACUUAUAAACCAAUCAUAAACCCUGUCCUAACUGAUGAGGUCUGUGUAGAUGACAUGACUUAUAAACCAAUCAUAAACCCUGUCCUAACUGAUGAGGUCUGUGUAGGUAACAUGACUUAUAAACCAAUCAUAAACCCUGUCCUAACUGAUGAGGUCUGUGUAGAUGACAUGAUGCAUAAACCUUUGUUUGUUUGUUUCAGGUCAUAAGCUUCAUAUGUUUGGACAUUUUCACUUAGGGGUGUCCUCACUUUUGUUGCCAGCGGUCUGUGUGUUGAG
Long non-coding RNA from Oncorhynchus keta (chum salmon), 2250 nucleotides. RefSeq lists it as uncharacterized. The transcript is spliced from 8 exons. NCBI's taxonomy places the organism in Eukaryota, Metazoa, Chordata, Actinopteri, Salmoniformes, Salmonidae. The record is from RefSeq and is a predicted model, not a curated record.